UGGGGAAUAUUGCACAAUGGACGGAAGUCUGAUGCAGCAACGCCGCGUGCGGGAUGACGGCCUUCGGGUUGUAAACCGCUUUUUCUCAUGACGAAGUUUUUUGACGGUAGUGGGGGAAGAAGCACCGGCUAACUACGUGCCAGCAGCCGCGGUGAUACGUAGGGUGCGAGCGUUGUCCGGAAUUAUUGGGCGUAAAGAGCUUGUAGGCGGUUUGUCGCGUCGAUAGUGUAAACACGCAGCUUAACUGUGUGCCUGCUGUCGAUACGGGCUGACUAGAGGAGGGUAGGGGAGAAUGGAAUUCCCGGUGGGGCGGUGGAAUGCGCAGAUAUCGGGAGGAACACCAGUGGCGAAGGCGGUUCUCUGGACCUUUCCUGACGCUGAGAAGCGAAAGCGUGGGUAGCAAACAGG
This 408-nucleotide ribosomal RNA is filed under the name Fusobacteriota bacterium. Its description in RNAcentral is "Fusobacteria bacterium partial 16S ribosomal RNA". It matches the Rfam family "Bacterial small subunit ribosomal RNA", at positions 355 to 776 of the family's 1533-position model. Lineage: Bacteria; Fusobacteriati; Fusobacteriota. The record is from RNAcentral.